Molecule: RNA transcript, 1429 nt
Organism: Fragaria vesca subsp. vesca
Lineage: Eukaryota; Viridiplantae; Streptophyta; Magnoliopsida; Rosales; Rosaceae
Exons: 4
Source: RefSeq, a predicted model, not a curated record
ACAGCCGCCGAACCAAAUGUAGUGUAUGGUUCCAAGAGGUAUGCCUUGCUGCCUUACAUGUAAUACCACUCUCGUUCUUGUUGAUUCUCAAUCCCCAAACCCAACCAAAUCUUCAUAUCCUCAUCUGGGGUUUCUUGUGAGUAAACCCAGCUCGCGUUCGCUAGUUUGGGUUAUCCCUUUCGGUCAAGAUCACAACUUGUCUCACUGUUUCUUCUGUCAUCUCUUUGUCUAAACAAAUUUUUCAAAUAAGCUGCCAAGUCUCAUUUCAUUGCAUUGCGUCUUCUUCAACCUCUCUCUGCAAUUCCUCUGGACUUUUGAGUCGGUAGCAGCUUUUGUAACAAGAUAUGGACAAAGACAUCAAGGUGCAAAAAUGGACAGAAGAGAAUGAAAGCUCCAACACGUAGGAAGAAGUUUGAAAAAGAACAAUCAUAUUGCCAAUACAAGUGCAAUAUGACUGCUUUCCAAGACCUGGUUUUAAAGAUGCAUGGGAAGCUGAAAGCCGAAGAAAGAAGGUUGAGGAUGCAUCUGAAGGACAACUACAAGAAGCUGAAGCUGAAACCUAUGAACAAAGUGUAACUGAAACGAAAAAUAAUCCUGAAGAAGUUUUUCAAUCAGGCUAAGGAUGGAGCAACUGAGAUGAAUACCGAGGUUGGGAGGAAUGAAGAAGUUGGGCCUGAACAGAAUGAAGAGGCUGGGGGGAAUGAAGAAGUUGGUACAACCAAGGAAAUCAUGCAAAAAAUUAUGAAUGGCGUCAUAGCACAGCUCAAGAAAAAUGAAACAUGAGAAAAUGAGUACACUCCGGAAGAACUUGAACAGUGGGUAAAGCAAAUGGAAAAGGAGGCCCUGAUAUAUAACGGAUUUGGAUAUCAAAACAGUGAGGACGAAGAUGUUAACACUGUGGAGUACUGGCAGGAUGGGUCUACAAUAGACACUUGCAAGAGGAAUUCUGAUUACAUAGAACAGCUAUGGGAAGAAAAAGAAGAAGUGACCUGAAAAUUCAGAAAAGCAUGAAAGGACAUGAAUAAGCCAGAAUCUAACCUGAAAAUUUGAUAAUCUCAGAGAAGAAUAGAUCACUUUUAUUGUUUUGUCAACCAAUUGAGUGGCUUGAAGAAUCACGAUGUUUUAGAAUGUGUGGAAUCAGAGGCCUGAAAUACUCCAUUUAAUACUUGUCACAAGCCAUUAAAGUUUGUUCGGGCCCUCUAUUAGUGUUUACGAUCACUUUGCACCGAAGAUGACUAACCAAACUCAGUGGUAUGGUUCCAGUUUCCAAAAUUGAGCAGUUAAUGUCUUAGGGCUUCGUUUCCUCAUUUAAUAGUUCUAUGUAAUUGAAAUUAUCAAUGUUCAAUCUAAUUGGUAUCUUGUUAUAUACAGCAAGUGUUUGAGGAUAAUCAGUCUGCUCUUGACGUGUGGUCAGAUAUUCCGAUUUCAG